Equus asinus (donkey) is the source of this 772-nucleotide long non-coding RNA. The record is from Ensembl. Lineage: Eukaryota; Metazoa; Chordata; Mammalia; Perissodactyla; Equidae.
UAAACAAUUUCUGGAGGUACUUUUCUAGGUACUAGAGAGAGAGCAGUGAAUGAAACAGUCACGGUCUUGGAACUCAGGAGCUUAUAUUCUGAUGGAGGAAAUAUAAACAAACAAAUCAGAUAGUGAUAUGUGCGAUGAAGGAAUUGAGACACAGUGUGAAGGAGAGGGUGGGGGAGGCCGCUGUUCACAGGGUGGUCAGAUUUCCCCUCUGAGGAGGUGGCACUUGAGCCUGAUAACCCGACCGAUGAGAAGGCACCAGUUGUGGGAAGAUCUGGGACUGGGGCGUUCUGCUCUAAGCGUUGUUGUAUGUGGGGAAGGACUGCUGCAAGCGGGGGGAGUUUCUACAGGUAGUUCUGAGGGUCUGCUAUGUGCCAGGUGCUGUGCUAGCAAUUGAAAACGUGGCAGUGAAUAAUACAGCUGCAGUCUUGUCUUCCCUCGUGGAUCUUACAGUCUAGGUGAUUCUGGAAGAGCUGGAGCCUUUGAAGAAACACCUUUUGACGAUGACAUCAGACCAAAGGUUCUUUCUUACUGGGGAAAUGAGGAAGAUUGGGACAUACUUGAACCCAGAUCUGAUUGAUGAGAAAGAACCAGCCAUGUGAUGAUCUGGGCAAGAGCGUUUCAGGUGGAAGGGUCAGCAGGUGCAAAAGCCCUGAGAAAGUUCGCUGGUUUCUGCAAAGAAAACGGGCAAGAAUGAAAGCAGGAGGGGAUGUGCUUUCCAACUCACCAUGGUCUUCACCAGCCUGCUUUGUUCCCACCUGGCCCUGUAAGCGUC